GAUUGGAGAGAGGGGAGGAGACAGGGAUGGAGCAGAGCAUGGGAUGGGGCUAACAGCAAAAUUACGUUCGUUAUUACUUCCACUAUAUGCUGUGAGAGCUGCUGCUGCUGUGUUGUUGCUCCCUCCCCUGCACUGCCUCUUCCCUGGCUCCCCUGCAUCACCCCCCCU
Brachypodium distachyon (stiff brome) is the source of this 168-nucleotide non-coding RNA. Lineage: Eukaryota; Viridiplantae; Streptophyta; Magnoliopsida; Poales; Poaceae. The record is from Rfam.